Long non-coding RNA from Camelus dromedarius (Arabian camel), 598 nucleotides. RefSeq lists it as uncharacterized. The record is from RefSeq and is a predicted model, not a curated record. The transcript has 3 exons. Lineage: Eukaryota; Metazoa; Chordata; Mammalia; Artiodactyla; Camelidae.
UUCACUUUUACCAGUGUCAUAUCUGUGUGUGUUUGCACAAGUGCUUUAACUACCAGCAAUGUAAGAAAAAUCUGUGUACUAAAAAUGUGAAAAUAGUUUCCUGGUUUGUGUUUUCAUUCUCCCAAUAUAGGUUUUGGAUGACAAGCUUGUAUUUGCAAAUGUACACACCCUGUGGGAGGUGAUCUGUACAUACGCUGAGAUACUGUACAUAAAAUUGCCUCUGAAUCCCAAUCAUCUGAAAACCGUGUCCUCAGCCUUUGAUACCUUCAGCUGUUUUAUGAAAGUCCUCCAAGUGGAUGAAAGUGUCAACAACCGGAACAAGAGUUUUUCAUUGCCCUAUUUGAGAAGAGCUGCGUGAACGACUUUUAUAUUCAGGAUAGAGAUACAUUCAUCAAUCCAACCACCAGGAGCCGCACUUGCAACUUCAGCCUCCAUCAGAGGACCUCAGCUGCCCCAGCGAACAGGGCCUUCUGUACAGGGAAUGUGCUCCUCCUCGAAGCAUAGACAAGAAGCAGCCCUUAGAUCUCAUCAGGAAAUUCUACGGAGAGAAGGUCGGAAUCUACUUUGCUUGGGCUGGGCUAUUACAUUCAGAUGCUCC